GGGUUGUGAGGUUAAGCGACUAAGCGUACACGGUGGAUGCCCUGGCAGUCAGAGGCGAUGAAGGGCGUGCUAAUCUGCGAUAAGCGCCGGUAAGGUGAUAUGAACCGUUAUAACCGGCGAUACCCGAAUGGGGAAACCCAGUGUGAUUCGUCACACUAUCAUUAACUGAAUCCAUAGGUUAAUGAGGCGAACCGGGGGAACUGAAACAUCUAAGUACCCCGAGGAAAAGAAAUCAACCGAGAUUCCCCCAGUAGCGGCGAGCGAACGGGGAGGAGCCCAGAGCCUGAAUCAGCAUGUGUGUUAGUGGAAGCGUCUGGAAAGGCGCGCGAUACAGGGUGACAGCCCCGUACACAAAAGCGCAUGUGCUGUGAGCUCGAUGAGUAGGGCGGGACACGUGGUAUCCUGUCUGAAUAUGGGGGGACCAUCCUCCAAGGCUAAAUACUCCUGACUGACCGAUAGUGAACCAGUACCGUGAGGGAAAGGCGAAAAGAACCCCGGCGAGGGGAGUGAAAAAGAACCUGAAACCGUGUACGUACAAGCAGUGGGAGCACCCUUUGGGUGUGACUGCGUACCUUUUGUAUAAUGGGUCAGCGACUUAUAUUCUGUAGCAAGGUUAACCGAAUAGGGGAGCCGGAGGGAAACCGAGUCUUAAUUGGGCGUUAAGUUGCAGGGUAUAGACCCGAAACCCGGUGAUCUAGCCAUGGGCAGGUUGAAGGUUGGGUAACACUAACUGGAGGACCGAACCGACUAAUGUUGAAAAAUUAGCGGAUGACCUGUGGCUGGGGGUGAAAGGCCAAUCAAACCGGGAGAUAGCUGGUUCUCCCCGAAAGCUAUUUAGGUAGCGCCUCGUGAAUUCAUCUCCGGGGGUAGAGCACUGUUUCGGCUAGGGGGCCAUCCCGGCUUACCAACCCGAUGCAAACUGCGAAUACCGGAGAAUGUUAUCACGGGAGACACACGGCGGGUGCUAACGUCCGUCGUGAAGAGGGAAACAACCCAGACCGCCAGCUAAGGUCCCAAAGUCAUGGUUAAGUGGGAAACGAUGUGGGAAGGCCCAGACAGCCAGGAUGUUGGCUUAGAAGCAGCCAUCAUUUAAAGAAAGCGUAAUAGCUCACUGGUCGAGUCGGCCUGCGCGGAAGAUGUAACGGGGCUAAACCAUGCACCGAAGCUGCGGCAGCGACACUGUGUGUUGUUGGGUAGGGGAGCGUUCUGUAAGCCUGCGAAGGUGGCCUGUGAGGGUUGCUGGAGGUAUCAGAAGUGCGAAUGCUGACAUAAGUAACGAUAAAGCGGGUGAAAAGCCCGCUCGCCGGAAGACCAAGGGUUCCUGUCCAACGUUAAUCGGGGCAGGGUGAGUCGACCCCUAAGGCGAGGCCGAAAGGCGUAGUCGAUGGGAAACGGGUUAAUAUUCCCGUACUUGGUGUUACUGCGAAGGGGGGACGGAGAAGGCUAUGUUGGCCGGGCGACGGUUGUCCCGGUUUAAGCGUGUAGGUGUGUGUUCCAGGUAAAUCCGGUUCACUUUAACACUGAGGCGUGACGACGAGGCACUACGGUGCUGAAGCAACAAAUGCCCUGCUUCCAGGAAAAGCCUCUAAGCAUCAGGUAACAUCAAAUCGUACCCCAAACCGACACAGGUGGUCAGGUAGAGAAUACCAAGGCGCUUGAGAGAACUCGGGUGAAGGAACUAGGCAAAAUGGUGCCGUAACUUCGGGAGAAGGCACGCUGACACGUAGGUGAAGUGAUUUACUCAUGGAGCUGAAGUCAGUCGAAGAUACCAGCUGGCUGCAACUGUUUAUUAAAAACACAGCACUGUGCAAACACGAAAGUGGACGUAUACGGUGUGACGCCUGCCCGGUGCCGGAAGGUUAAUUGAUGGGGUCAGCGCAAGCGAAGCUCCUGAUCGAAGCCCCGGUAAACGGCGGCCGUAACUAUAACGGUCCUAAGGUAGCGAAAUUCCUUGUCGGGUAAGUUCCGACCUGCACGAAUGGCGUAAUGAUGGCCAGGCUGUCUCCACCCGAGACUCAGUGAAAUUGAACUCGCUGUGAAGAUGCAGUGUACCCGCGGCAAGACGGAAAGACCCCGUGAACCUUUACUAUAGCUUGACACUGAACAUUGAGCCUUGAUGUGUAGGAUAGGUGGGAGGCUUUGAAGUGUGGACGCCAGUCUGCAUGGAGCCGACCUUGAAAUACCACCCUUUAAUGUUUGAUGUUCUAACGUGGACCCGUUACCCGGGUUGCGGACAGUGUCUGGUGGGUAGUUUGACUGGGGCGGUCUCCUCCUAAAGAGUAACGGAGGAGCACGAAGGUUGGCUAAUCCUGGUCGGACAUCAGGAGGUUAGUGCAAUGGCAUAAGCCAGCUUGACUGCGAGCGUGACGGCGCGAGCAGGUGCGAAAGCAGGUCAUAGUGAUCCGGUGGUUCUGAAUGGAAGGGCCAUCGCUCAACGGAUAAAAGGUACUCCGGGGAUAACAGGCUGAUACCGCCCAAGAGUUCAUAUCGACGGCGGUGUUUGGCACCUCGAUGUCGGCUCAUCACAUCCUGGGGCUGAAGUAGGUCCCAAGGGUAUGGCUGUUCGCCAUUUAAAGUGGUACGCGAGCUGGGUUUAGAACGUCGUGAGACAGUUCGGUCCCUAUCUGCCGUGGGCGCUGGAGAACUGAGGGGGGCUGCUCCUAGUACGAGAGGACCGGAGUGGACGCAUCACUGGUGUUCGGGUUGUCAUGCCAAUGGCACUGCCCGGUAGCUAAAUGCGGAAGAGAUAAGUGCUGAAAGCAUCUAAGCACGAAACUUGCCCCGA
Molecule: ribosomal RNA, 2785 nt
Filed under: Salmonella enterica subsp. enterica serovar Enteritidis
Lineage: Bacteria; Pseudomonadati; Pseudomonadota; Gammaproteobacteria; Enterobacterales; Enterobacteriaceae
Description: partial 23S ribosomal RNA
Rfam family: Bacterial large subunit ribosomal RNA
Source: RNAcentral